AGUGAACGCUGGCGGCAGGCCUAACACAUGCAAGUCGAACGGCAGCACAGCAGUAGCAAUACUGUGGGUGGCGAGUGGCGGACGGGUGAGGAAUACAUCGGAAUCUGCCUAGUCGUGGGGGAUAACGUAGGGAAACUUACGCUAAUACCGCAUACGACCUACGGGUGAAAGCGGGGGAUCGCAAGACCUCGCGCGAUUAGAUGAGCCGAUGUCCGAUUAGCUAGUUGGCGGGGUAAUGGCCCACCAAGGCGACAAUCGGUAGCUGGUCUGAGAGGAUGAUCAGCCACACUGGAACUGAGACACGGUCCAGACUCCUACGGGAGGCAGCAGUGGGGAAUAUUGGACAAUGGGCGCAAGCCUGAUCCAGCCAUGCCGCGUGGGUGAAGAA
Molecule: ribosomal RNA, 388 nt
Filed under: uncultured bacterium
Lineage: Bacteria
Description: bacterial SSU rRNA
Rfam family: Bacterial small subunit ribosomal RNA
Source: RNAcentral